This is a long non-coding RNA of Cervus elaphus (red deer), 2953 nucleotides long. RefSeq lists it as uncharacterized. Lineage: Eukaryota; Metazoa; Chordata; Mammalia; Artiodactyla; Cervidae. The record is from RefSeq and is a predicted model, not a curated record. The transcript is spliced from 3 exons.
AGACGUGGUUAGGUUAUGAGUAAUUCUAGUAGCAGAGCCAGGGAGCUGGCAGUUCUUAGGUUGAGACUGUUACCAAUUGUCCAGAAUAGUGGGAGAGGAACGGGGAUACUUGAUGCAAAAGCCUCUGUCAGCUGGGGAGCUGCUUACCAACCCAGCAAGGCAUAUGAUGAUGUCCACUCUGGGAGGUCAGUGCAGACACUCCUGAAGUUGCAGCCUCGCUGUAUUCCUGCACACACAUGCACGCGCGCACACACACACACACACACACACACACACACACACCCCAGCUGCAUGCUAUGGUGAGGAAAGGGGGGUGCGAGGCCUCAAGGAUUGGUUUGGAUAAAGGGUGCCCAUUCCUGCUAGUGUUUCUUUUCUCUUUGCUGAGUGGACUGUAGCCCGCCAGGCUUCUCCGUCCAUGGGAUUCUCCAGGCAAGAAUAACUGGAGUUGAGUGGACUGGAUCCGGCCAGGCUCCUCUGCCCAUUGGAUUCUCCAGGCAAGAAUAACGAGUUGAAUAGACCGUAGCCUGCCAGGCUUCUCCGUCCCUGGGACUCUCCCGGGAAGAACACUGGAGCGGGCUGCUGGGCCACCUCGGCGGUCCCGGGAAGGAGGCUCUGGGGGCCGCGGUCAACCCGAGCCCGCCGCGCCGUCGCCGGCGUCCAGCAGGGGGCGCUGCACCCCGGCCCGCCGGCCCUCUCUCCCCCGCCGAGGCCGCCGCGACGCCGGCCAGUCGGGCCGCGGGUCCGCGCGCGCACGUCCUCGGGCGGCCGCCGUGGCCAACGCGCACGGUGACACGCCGGCUGGACGAGGCCCUUUGUCAGAAGCCGCGGGGACCUGGCGUUUCCGCACGACGGGAAAAACAAAGGGCUUCUGCCUGCCUGGCCGGGGUUGACAUUGGCUCACCCUCUAACCCCCGGGCGUUUGCAGGCAGAAUGAGUUCGUGCGAGACCACAGGACCUUGCCAUGAGUCACUCACUUUCUGUAAAUCCGAGUCAACAGCACACUUCCCCUCACUUUGGGCCAUUGCUUGAAGUUUUAGGUCACCGGGUGCUGUUGGCGUUAACAAGAGACUCGAAUAUUUCGUAAGUCUUUUUUUUUUUUUAAAGGCAAAACCAACUUGGGGGGCAGAUUUGCAGUUGGAGAGUUUUGGUCGCUCUUAGCUCCCCAAAUAGGUUGGCCUUAUAUGUUAUUUACGUGUUUCAGAAGUGUGCCAUGUAAAAAUUCAAGGGAAAGUUGCAAAAUGUUUUCUGGCAGGAGGCCCAGGAGAGGUUAUUCAGGGAGAUAAGGAUGACUGGAUCAGGCGUGGGAGCAAGACUCGUAGGUGAGGAAACCGGCCCAGAGCUGCUGCUGCUUUUUUUUUUUUACACCUAGAAAAAAAAAUGUAGACACAUGGAGUUGAUCUGUUCUGAGGAUUAUGGGCAAAUUUUGAUAUUCUGGGAAACAGACAAGAUGGGAUUAAAAGUAAAGAGACAAGCAAGAGGCCUGGGAGGGUUCGGAAGGGUUUGAGCCAGUGAACAAGGAGCCUGAAUAAUACCAUCAAGUGGAGCACCUGAAGAGGAUUAACUUGGAAGGCGUUGGAGGCUCGGGGAAAGCUUUUCAUUGGCCUCUGGCCUGGAAUCCACUGUACAUCGGGGAGCGUCCCUGGGCCCUGCACACGUGUUUCCCUUGCCAGCCUCCUCUUUACCACAUUUAGGGGGAAAUACGUCCCCAAGAGAGUAUGAGGUGGCGCUAGUGAUUAAGAAUCUGCUUGCCAAUGCAGGAGAUGUGGGUUCGAUCCUUUGGUCUGGAAGAUCCUCUGGAGGAGGAAAUGGCAACCCACUCCGGUAUUCUUGCCUGGAUAAUUCCACGGACAGGGGAGCCUGGCAGGCUGCAGUCCAUACGGCUGCAGAGAGUUGGAUGUGACUAAGCACACAUAUCCCCAAGAAGUUCCCUGCACCCUCAUUCCUAACUUUUAGCUAAUUGCUGCCCAUCCCACCUCCCCGGACUUUUUUCUAUUGAUAUCCAAUCCCCUUUCUCACCUCGUGAAAUCUCAAAUCUGAUUGUCUCCUGAGAGUUCUCCUACAGAAAUCUCUGUGCCUGGUGAAAUUUUUGUGCUUUUUUUUUGUUUUUGUAUGUACUAUUAUUAUUAUUUUUAAAAUCCUUUUAUGGUUUUAUUGAGAUAAAGGAUCUUUGGGGACCAGAGAAGGUAGGAAACAGUUUGUGGUCUUUCCUAAGCUCCCUGUUCCUUCCAGGCCUCACGGUGGUGGGGUCUCCAGCUGCGCUGCUGACCUCUUGCUUUGGUGGGAGGGGGCUGAUGGGAGGGACGUGAGGACACACGCGGAGCAUCUUUAGACACAAGGAUCUGGACGUGUCCGGUAAGUGAGCAAACAAAGAAAUAACCCCAGAUAAUUAGAAAACCAAGUCCAGCAGAGUUUAGCCUCAACCAACUAAACUCACCCCCAAACCCAUCACUCGAGGCACACGGGAAGAGUGAUGCUCCUGUGUGUAAUAUAUUCUCAUGAAUGUAUGCAACCUUAUGAGCAAUUCUUGGCUUGUAAUAUGAAUUCUACCCUUUUCUUCUUUGCUCAGAGAAGCAUACUGGGAUUGAAGAAAAUGAAAGGAUUUGCAUUCUUUCUGAGUGUGUGUGUAUGUGAAUUUUAUAUAUGUAUUUUAUGUGAGAGGGGGAAAUAAUGCCGACUGACACUUGGCUAAAUAAUAGGUUGUAAUUGAUCCCAGUACAUCAGGGCAGUAGAGAACAGUAAGGCCACACACACAUAUGUACAUGCACACACACAGGUUGUCUAUUCUGAGUAAUUUUGGAAAUGGGGAAACGGAAAUUCCUAGAGAACUUAAGUGAACCUCUCGAGACUGUAGCAUGUCAGAGGUGCAACUGAGUCUUCCAGUUCGUGCCUUUAAACUUCUGUCUUUUGUCCUUUGUGAGGUGCCUGGGGAUGACCAGGUGCCUGUCUGAUUCGU